GAGGGUAUAGCUCAGUGGUAGAGUGUCUGCUUAGCAUGCAUGAGGUCCUGAGUUCAAUCCUCAGUACCUCCA
RNAcentral lists this transfer RNA (72 nucleotides) under Camelus bactrianus (Bactrian camel). It matches the Rfam family "tRNA". From Rfam's summary of the family: Transfer RNA (tRNA) molecules are approximately 80 nucleotides in length. Their secondary structure includes four short double-helical elements and three loops (D, anti-codon, and T loops). Lineage: Eukaryota; Metazoa; Chordata; Mammalia; Artiodactyla; Camelidae. The record is from Rfam by way of RNAcentral. RNAcentral also lists the same sequence under 2 other names.